UACGUAGGGGGCAAGCGUUAUCCGGAUUUACUGGGUGUAAAGGGUGCGUAGCCGGAAAAGUAAGUCAGAUGUGAAAGCCCGAAGCUCAACUUCGGGAUUGCAUUUGAAACUACUUUUCUUGAGUGCAGGAGAGGAAAGUGGAAUUCCUAGUGUAGCGGUGAAAUGCGUAGAUAUUAGGAGGAACACCAGUGGCGAAGGCGACUUUCUGGACUGUAACUGACGGUGAGGCACGAAAGCGUGGGGAGCAAACAGG
RNAcentral lists this ribosomal RNA (253 nucleotides) under uncultured bacterium. Its description in RNAcentral is "partial 16S ribosomal RNA". It matches the Rfam family "Bacterial small subunit ribosomal RNA", at positions 524 to 776 of the family's 1533-position model. The record is from RNAcentral.